RNAcentral lists this long non-coding RNA (2472 nucleotides) under Olea europaea subsp. europaea. Lineage: Eukaryota; Viridiplantae; Streptophyta; Magnoliopsida; Lamiales; Oleaceae. The record is from RNAcentral.
CAAAUUGCAAAUUUAUGUCAUUUGAUUGAGCUUGUGUGCCACGUUCUUCACAUACAUCCAUAUCUACCAACAUAUUCCACAAAAAUUAUGAAUACACCAAAUACAUCUAUUUAAUUACAAUUAUUAAAGCACUACAAGAAAGGAAGAAUAUUGCACCUGAGUCCAUUACUUAAGGACAAUGCAAGUCAUUCUCACUCCAAUUUCCAAAAGAUCCACAAUUACAGAGACUGAAGAAGGUCUAGCUGCUUCUCUAAAAUACUGUAAGAAAGAAGCAAUUCCAAUUUUACUUAAUAUACUAUUAAAAAAGUCAAUAUUAAACCUACAUUUUCGUUUGUAUAAAUCAUGCUGGGAAGUGUACAUAAAUAGUUUGAAUUAUAGAUAGAUAGAUGUGAGUAGUAGAUAAGUGGACUAAUUAAUGGCGAAAUGAAUUCUGCCAUAUAUUUCCGAUUAGUUAUGUCACAAAUUAAGGGACCACUUGAGGAAAAUGGUGCAAACUAAAAUGAGCCGCCAUAUUUUGUGCAUCUUUUAGCAACUCCUCUCUACUCCCACCCGAACCAAAUUUCAGACACAACCUCAGCAAAAACACUUCAUGCAAGACAAUCCUAGCUAAUGCCCCAAUCCCACACCUCGUGUUCAUCUGAUUCCAAACAUCAUCACUCAAAAUGGGGAAAAAAGCCCUCAAAUCUUCCCUAUUUGUACAACUCCCUCCACCUCGGUCAACAGUCCAAACCCUAACCAAAUCCUCAAAACACAGCACUGAUUUAUCAAUAUCAACAAUUCCAUUUGCAUAAUCAUCGACCCCACAGUAUACCAUAAUAUAGCUAACCAUUUUCUCUACCAAAUCUCCAACCUCCAUUCUCAAACUAAACCCAUGUUUCAAAAAAUCAUACAAAAAAUUAUACAGCUCGUAUACAACAGGUGCAAGUAGCACAAUUUUUUUCGAUGCGCUACUCAAGUUAGAACACGAAAUUAGUAAAUUCAACAGGUCACUAGCUACAAGAAUUCGAGUGGAAGGAUUGUGGUUCAUGGUGUGUGUGAGUUUGUGAUUGUGGUUGGUUGUGUGCUAAAAAGGUAAAAAUGACAAGAAAGUUGGUUAUUGACCUUUGUUGAGCCGGCGACAACUGAAAAAUGUAGCUCUCCGACGAUUUUGAGAGAAAAUGACAGGAGAUACCGAGAGAAAUUAGGGCUUGGGUCUUGCGGUUGUGAUUGUGGUGAAGAAGUAAAGUGAAAUUUUAGGUUUCUUUUCCUUUUAUAGUAGGUCAUUUUUUUCACUUAAUUUUGCGGGUUGGGUCGGUUUGGGUUCUUUCGGUUUUUUUGGUUUAACCCACCACCCAACCCAAACCAACCCAACAUCAUAACCCAUUACCCGAAACCCGCCAAAAACACAAAAAAAGCGACCCAAACCAAUCGGUUUGGGUCGGUUCGGGCGGUUUUCGUGGGUUGGCUUGGGUUUUUCCCACCCCUAUCCCCAUCCCCAUUCCCGUUUCAACGUUUUCCUUUACCUCACCAUCUCUGAAUUCUGAAUGUAGUAUGCUUCCUACCUUCUCUCUCUACAUUUACCCACUGUCAAAUGUUAAAAAAGCUCUGGUGUCUUUUCUAUUGCUUCCCAGGUUUAGCCCAGAAGCUCUGAACUGGCUGUUCGCCAAGGGCUUGGUAGGCUGGUGUUUGCAAGUUAUCCUUCUGAAAGCAACAUUGUUUACAUUGGGUAGUGGCAAGGCGCCUUUGCUUGAUAUGGUGGCAUACGCUGGAUACACUUUCACGGGACUGUCUCUGGCUAUCUUGGGGAAGAUUGUCUGGAACUAUUCGUACUACUUUCUGAUGCCGUGGACGUGCCUUUGUAUGGGGAUUUUCUUGGUGAAGACAAUGAAGAGAGUUCUUUUUGCUGAAGUGAGGAGUUAUGAUUCGAGCAGGCAUCAUUAUCUUCUAUUGCUCAUCGCCUUGGCACAGUUCCCACUAUUCAUAUGGCUGGGAAACAUUAGUCUCAACUGGCUUUUUUGAGAUGCAUGCCUUCAAGAAGUUGUUGUGAAUAGUUCAUCUGUGUAAUGACAGUAAAGAUUUUUUUCCAGGCGAUUUUAUUAAUAGAUUGUUUGAUCUCUUGGGUUCUUGCUUGAUAUUACGGAUUGAGGGCUAAGGGCAUGUUCGAUUUUUUUUCCCCUCCUCAAAGACUGUUUAAUUCGUGGAUUGAACCAUUAGUAAGAAAAUGAAGUAAAAUCUUAUACGUUGGAUCUUUGGUCCUGUUUAGUAGCAAGCACUAAUUGAUGAACAUUUCUGACCAUUCGUAGUUAAUUUUAACAAGUAACUUCUUUUUUUUCUUCCUCUCUUUUUCUUCAUUUUGAAUCUUGAGACAUAUUGUCUGUACACCGAAGUUAACUCUCGUGAGGGGUCUGUACCCCCGUGUACAAAUAGAAAAAUCCUUGAAUCUUAAAGGAUUUUAUUUUGGCAAGGACAAUUUUAUUUUGCUCUUGAUAUGGG